This is a long non-coding RNA of Phyllopteryx taeniolatus (common seadragon), 2832 nucleotides long. RefSeq lists it as uncharacterized. Lineage: Eukaryota; Metazoa; Chordata; Actinopteri; Syngnathiformes; Syngnathidae. The record is from RefSeq and is a predicted model, not a curated record. The transcript is spliced from 4 exons.
AUCUUCAUCCCCUGCGGGAGCCGGAUUUUUCUUUGUGGACAAAAAGGACAAGACUCUGCGACCCUGUAUCGAUUACCGGGGUCUGAACGACAUAACGGUGAAAACCAGAUCUCAAACAGCAGUUUUUGGUAGAAGUUGAUACGUCUGAUGCCGGUAUAGGAGCCGUGCUCUCUCAGAACUCUCUCAAGGAUGGUGCUACCAUCAGUCUGUCAUCUGGGUCUCACCCUGAAACCAACGGCCAAACCGAGAGGCUGAACCAGGACCUGGAGACUGGGCUCCGAUGUCUCGCUUCACUGGAGCCACGAUUCUGGUCUCAGAAACUGGUUUGGGUCGAAUUCUCUCACAAUUCCCUCCCUUCUGGAUCCACUGGUCUAUCGCCUUUUCACGUUGUGCAUGGUUACCAAUAUUUCCUGUCAUAGCCCCAGAGUCCACAGUUCCAGCGGCAUUGACAUUGGUGAGACGCUGCAGGAGGACCUGGGAGCGAGCCCGCCAGAUGCUGCUGCGCCAGGAACAGUCCUACAAAACCGCUGCUGACUGUCGGAGGACAGUCAAAUUUGUGCUGGUACCCGAAUACCCGAACUACAAAGUGGGUCAGCGGGUUUGGCUCUCUACCAAACAUAUUCCCCUCCGGGUGGAGUCCAAGAAGCUCGCUCCCAGGUUCGUUGGGAGCUGCAGCUCAGUGAACACAUACACAUGUUAGUGGAACACACUGGAGCAGGGGGCAGCUGAAGCGCCCGGGGAGCAUUUCGGGGUACCAGUGUCUUGCUCAAGGACACCACAGCCGUGAGUCCGGGGGAUGUUGGCAGAUGGUCCAGUCGGGGUCUUGAACCUAGGUCCCCCACCAACUUUGUUCUGGCCAGAACAAAGAGGUCAGAGCAUAUUACUCUACACUCGCUCCCACUCAGCUUUAAAAUUGAUUUUAAAGUUCUGCUACAGGUCUAUAAAUCACUAAAUGGUUCAUCCAUCCAUUCUCAACACCGCAUAUCCUGUUCAGGGUUGCGGGGCGCUGGAGCCUAUCACAGCUGACUUUGGACGAAAGGCAGACUACACCCUGAACUGGUUGCCAGUCAGUCGCAGGGCACAUAUAGACACAGACAACCAUUUUCAUUCACAUUCACACCGUCACUGAGUGGGAACUGAACCCACCAUAGUCAGCCGAGUGUACCACUACACCAUCAGUGAUCACUAAAUAGUUUAGGUCCUGAAUACAUGAAAUAAAUGCUAAUGGCAGGCGGAGGAAGUAGAUGAGAAUGGUUUAUGAAGUAAAAGUUCAGGGGGUAGGAUAUCCGAGGAGUGAUGGUGGUCCGUUGGAACAGGGAAGGUGCAGGAAGUGGUAGCAUGGGCAGGUGGAAAAGUUUGACGGCCUAGCUAGAGCGGGCAGCGAAGCGGGAGACACGGAAGGCCCACUGGGGACGGAGGAGGGCACAAGAGGUUUAGUACAAUUGCGAGUAGCCAAGUGUCACGGACAUGCGCUCCGCAAAUCGAGGCACCACAGAGACUCGCAACCACUUGAGAACCCUACUCCUCCACGCUGCCCUGCUGUGAGACGGCGACUAGGACUGGGCCUGGUGUACGACAAGUGGACCUUAACCUAAUUAGCAGCUUCCCGUCAAAUCUGGAUUCCUGUCUUCAAAAGACGCCUUCCCGGACCAAAUGGUUGGGGAAGACUAUGUGGUUAAUAUUCACCCAUGCGCGUGAGGCUCCACCCACUGGCUUUGAGAGGAACUGCAAGCGCCAGAACUUGUGGACGUGCCUUUGAUGUUUGUUGACGGAAGAUAACAUGUCUGUUUUUAUAUGUUGCAAACUCUGUAGAAAUAUUCCAAAUGUAUGCCUUGGUGUCUGUGUCGCCAUUCUCACUUUGACAGGUCCUCUGCAAGAUUUUUUAAAGCUGUUCAUGAUUUGAAAUCAAACAGUACGAAAUAUUGUAUUGAACAAUAAGCAACCGAUCUGUCACAACCAAAGUUUAAACAAUGAUUCUCUGCGUGAGAGGACAAAGUUGGGAGUGUUUUCGAUUAAUAUUAUUUUAAAACCUAUUUAGGCAAAUUUGUAGACUUCUCCAAGUCAGCACCCCCUCUUCCUACACCCCGCCCUUGGGGUAUUUAACUCUAAACUCACACCUUUCUGAGUAGAGUUGAGUUGAGGCUUAUUUUUCCUUCUUCUCGUACCUCCGGCCACCCUUCCCCCUUCUUUUGUUCCCUUUUUGUCCUCGGCGCCUCCGGGCGCCACCACGUGCGCGAACACCCGCCCGCAACCAAGCCGGCGGUGUUUUUGAUCGAAGAAGUCGACCAUGCGGCUCCGAUCGCUUUCCCUAGCCACGAUCAGUCGGCGGGGCCUCAACGAGCAACUACCGGCAUCCCGGUCGGGUCCCACAUGCCUCUGAGGGCCAGAGCUCGGCCCGCCACCAGGUCAACCGGCAGGGAAGUUAUGAGCGCGUCCCAAACGGGACAAGAACUUUCCUUUCCUAUUUGUUUUUAUUUUUGUGCAUCUGUUUUUUCUUCAACCGAACCUUCUUCUUUUCCGCCUGAUGUCCGGAGGCAGACCACACCCAAAGACCAGCUGAUCUGCGUUCGUGAGUCGACACUGCAAUCCUUACUAUGAUGUACAACAUCAGUGCGUAAUAGUUGUGGGGAAAUUACUAGCUUCAUACGAAAUACCAACUUUGCCUUCUCUCGCUCUGACUCAACACAUUAAACGCUCACAUGCUCAUUUAUUUUAGCCCAGCGACCACACACAAUGUGCUCUUUUCCAUUUUCAUACGCCUUAUUUUCUUUCUUUUGUUUACCCUUAGUGUUAUUUUCUUGCUACAGUUUGUAGUUGUAGUUGUUUGUUUCA